GUGCUCACUCUGGCAGCACAUAUACUAAAAUUGGAAGGAUACAGAGAAAACUGGCAUUGCCCCUGUGCAAGGAUGACAUGCAAUUCGUGAAACGUUCCAUAUUUUA
This is a small nuclear RNA of Myotis daubentonii (Daubenton's bat), 106 nucleotides long. NCBI's taxonomy places the organism in Eukaryota, Metazoa, Chordata, Mammalia, Chiroptera, Vespertilionidae. The record is from RefSeq and is a predicted model, not a curated record.